This 186-nucleotide unclassified non-coding RNA is filed under the name Echinophora platyloba. Its description in RNAcentral is "psbA-trnH intergenic spacer". Lineage: Eukaryota; Viridiplantae; Streptophyta; Magnoliopsida; Apiales; Apiaceae. The record is from RNAcentral.
UACCGGGUUUUAGUAUAUACGAGUUUUUUGAAAUAAAGAGAAGCAAUACCGCCUCUUCUUGAUAGAACAAGAGGGCGGUAUUGCUUCUCUUUAUAUUUCAGACUGUUUUAGCUAAACAAAUAUUUUUUAUUUUUGCAUGAUCAAAAAGGAAUCCUUUGAAAUAAAUAAAAGAAAAUUAAAAUUCGC